Molecule: ribosomal RNA, 498 nt
Filed under: uncultured bacterium
Lineage: Bacteria
Description: partial 16S ribosomal RNA
Rfam family: Bacterial small subunit ribosomal RNA
Source: RNAcentral
AUUGAACGCUGGCGGCAUGCCUUACACAUGCAAGUCGAACGGUAACAGGUCUUCGGAUGCUGACGAGUGGCGAACGGGUGAGUAAUACAUCGGAACGUGCCCGAUCGUGGGGGAUAACGAAGCGAAAGCUUUGCUAAUACCGCAUAAGAUCCACGGAUGAAAGCAGGGGACCGCAAGGCCUUGCGCGAACGGAACGGCCGAGGGCCGAACAGGUAGUUGGUGGGAUAAAAGCUUACCAAGCCGACGAUCUGUAGCUGGUCUGAGAGGACGACCAGCCAAACUGGGACUGAGACACGGCCCAGACUCCUACGGGAGGCAGCAGUGGGGAAUUUUGGACAAUGGACGAAAGCCUGAUGCAGCCAUGCCGCGUGCAGGAUGAAGGCCUUCGGGUUGUAAACUGCUUUUGUACGGAACGAAAAGACUCUUUCUAAUAAAGAGGGUCCAUGACGGUACCGUAAGAAUAAGCACCGGCUAACUACGUGCCAGCCGCCGCCGUAA